GACGAACGCUGGCGGCGUGCCUAAUACAUGCAAGUCGAACGAACCGCGACUGAGUGCUUGCACUUGGUCAAGGUGAGUGGCGAACGGGUGAGUAACACGUGGGUAACCUACCUCAUAGUGGGGGAUAACAGUCGGAAACGACUGCUAAUACCGCAUAGGACAUAGGAUCACAUGAUCCAGUGAGGAAAGGUGGCGCAAGCUAUCGCUAAGAGAUGGACCCGCGGUGCAUUAGCUAGUUGGUAGGGUAAAGGCCUACCAAGGCGAUGAUGCAUAGCCGACCUGAGAGGGUGAUCGGCCACAUUGGGACUGAGACACGGCCCAAACUCCUACGGGAGGCAGCAGUAGGGAAUCUUCCGCAGUGGACGCAAGUCUGACGGAGCAACGCCGCGUGAGUGAAGAAGGUCUUCGGAUCGUAAAGCGCUGUUGUUAGAGAAGAACAGCGCAUAGAGUAACUGCUAUGCGUGUGACGGUAUCUAACCAGAAAGCCACGGCUAACUACGU
RNAcentral lists this ribosomal RNA (501 nucleotides) under uncultured bacterium. Its description in RNAcentral is "partial 16S ribosomal RNA". It matches the Rfam family "Bacterial small subunit ribosomal RNA", at positions 28 to 506 of the family's 1533-position model. The record is from RNAcentral.